UGGAUUGAUGAAUAAAGCGAUGUGAAAGAUGUAGACGCAGUUCUUAAAAAUAUUUAUUUUUUACUUGUGAAUCGUUUGAGUUAAAUAACAAAAAUUCAUUUAAUUCAUAAUCUGUCUAAUAAAAACUACUCAAUAUUUUCAUAGAAUGAAGUUAUGUAUUUGUUUUAUUAUUUCUUUCAUAUUUUGUAGGGCUUUUAUUAGUCCAAAAGCAAUCGCACCUAGUGUCCGUACUAUGUGGUGACUCUGUAUAACUUUGGGCUGAUCGCACGGACUUGUCCCGGCAACGUAGCUUUCAAGUAUAUAUCUUAUAUACUGUCGAUGGUAUUUUACGCGCCUACUAUGGCAGUAACGGGGAAUCAGGGUUUGAUUCUGGAGAGGGAGCAUGAGAAACGGCUACCACAUCCAAGGAAGGCAGCAUGCGUGCAAAUUACAUACUCCCAGAACGGCGAGGUAGAGACGAAAAAUAACAAUACGGGUCUCUUUUGAGACCCCGUAAUUUGGAAUGAGUACACUCUAAAUCCUUUAACUAGGAUCAAUUGGAGGGUAAGUCUGGUGCCAGCAGCCGCGAUAAUUCCAGCUGCAAUA
This 585-nucleotide non-coding RNA is filed under the name Stegodyphus mimosarum. RNAcentral describes it as "Eukaryotic small subunit ribosomal RNA". It matches the Rfam family "Eukaryotic small subunit ribosomal RNA", at positions 59 to 596 of the family's 1831-position model. The record is from Rfam by way of RNAcentral. Lineage: Eukaryota; Metazoa; Arthropoda; Arachnida; Araneae; Eresidae.